RNAcentral lists this long non-coding RNA (2130 nucleotides) under Ananas comosus (pineapple). RNAcentral's name for it is "long non-coding RNA (ACOM_LNC042898)". Lineage: Eukaryota; Viridiplantae; Streptophyta; Magnoliopsida; Poales; Bromeliaceae. The record is from RNAcentral.
UACCCUUUGUGGGAGUUUGGAAUGUCCAAAGCACAAAAAGUGCCUUGGAGUUGAGUCCGCGAGAGCAAAUGAGGCAAAUGGCAUCAUUGGGCAGAAGUUGCUCUCAGGGACCGGUCUCUUCAGGUGAGAGACCGGUUCCCCUGGCUGGUUGUAGCGGGGUUGCGCGAUGCAACCGGUCCCUGGCAGGGAGGGACCGGUUCCCGAACGUGGCCCCAGCGAGAGAAGCCAAAAAUUGGCUAAGUCCUGAAAAUCAAGCUCUCGGGGACCGGUCUCUCAGGUGAGGACCGGUCUCCCGAAGACCGGUCUCCCGGGGAGAGACCGGUUCCCGAAUGCGUGCGCCCGAGGGAAGCUCUCGGGGACCGGUCCCAAGUCGGGGAGACCGGUCCCUCCGCGCGAAAACAGCCCAGUGAGGGCUGUGCAAGGGGUUAAAAGUUGAGGGGUCUAAAUGCAAAAUGGCCUUUAUUAGAGUGGGCUGAGCCCUCUCUCUCCCUCACACUCUCUCAUUUCACUCUCUCACUCUCAUUUCUCUCUUGCUCUCUCUCUCUCUAGAAAGGAAAGAAGGAGAAGAAGAAGAAGAAGGAGAGGAAGGAAAAGAAGAGGAAGAUAAGGAAGAAGAAGAAGAAGGAGAUCAAGAGGAAGGCUCUGAGCACCUCCAUCUCCCUCUCCUCUUCCCAUUGGAGUAGCUCUUGAGGUAAGCUACUAAACCCUAGCUUCUAGAACUUAGGGUUUUUGGGUUUUAUGCCUUAGAAUGGGUCAAAUGGACCCUAAGCAAGCUUCUAAAUAGAUCAAUCCCAAGAAUCUAGGGAUUUAUGGGGUGAUUUGCUAUAGGUGCAAAUCUAGGGUUCCAAAAUGGGGUUUUUGUAAAAGUAUGAGAUUGAUCUCAUUUGAAGCCUUGGAAACCCUAUUGAUAGGUCCCAAAACGCGGGGGCGAAGUCGAUUUUGGCAUUCGGCGAACCGACGUGAAGUUCUCGGCAAAAUCGGGCCGGGCUAGUGUUGAUUCGGGCGAGGAAGGCUAAAGCCUAUUCGUAAAGCUCGCCGAGAAGAAUUUCCAAAGCCUCUACAUCGAUAAAAAGGUGGGGGGUGUCAUCCGAAACUUUCGAACUCCUUUCUAUGUCUUAGAUUGCAUUUAAUCUCAUCUCUUCAUGUUGCAUUGUAGGAUUGCAUAGUAGCUCCAUUCCUUAUGCUUUCUAAAUGAUAACCUAGUGUACUUGGAACGCUUGGUAACUAGAUAGGUGAGGAUUGGGUCGGAACGUGGAUCCUAUGAUGCUAGAGAUAGAGAUGAACCCGAUGGGGGUAUUGAUGACAUAGAAAGUAGUGUUAUUGUUAAAGAACCAACGAGUGGCAUCCGAACAUUUAAUGAUAACGAGUGGCAUUAAUGUAGUGUAAACGACACUAGAGGUCGAUGGACCUAGGGAUAGGUGGAUCCCUUAGAAAAUGCCUUGUGAACAAUGAAUUUAGACAACCUAAACAGCGUUGCAUAAUGGUCGGGAACAAAUGAUUCCGCGAGAGAUAUUGACCCUAGUGGUAGGGCUCCUCACUUGGAGAGGAUUCGAUUGGGUAUUAACUCUAGUUGUAGAGUGUCCUCGCUUGGAGAGGAUAGAUCUAGCUCACAGUCUGCGUUUAGGAUGGUAUAGCCAUCCAAUCCCCACAUGGAGGGGAUUGUCGUCGAGUACUCCGGAGUGUCGCGCGACUAGGACCACUUGGAGGUCUGGACCACAUGGAGGUCCGCAGACGGUCCCGGGCUUGGGUGCACUUGGAGCUCCCUCCCCACUUUGGGAUUGAAAGGUGAGUCAUGGGCGAGCCCUAGGGCCUCGCCACAGAUUGGGUAAAUGAAAAAGGUUUAUAAAUGUCAUUGAACAUUUCUAUUCGAACAUGGAUCGAAUUUGUUAGCAUGGUAGCAAACCUUUAUUAUAUGAUGCAUGCAUUCAUAUUCAUGAUUAUGGGCAUAGUAGCAUAGUUUUCCUACUACUGCAUUUACAGCUUUCAGAUACAUAUCUAUCUAUCUAUCUAUUUGUUGUUACUUGUGCCCACUUGGACCUAGUGGGGAGAUCGGCAGAGUCGGCGGCCGAGCCCACUGGGAACUAUGGAAGAUAGUUCUCACCCCACUCUAUUUCCAGUGGUAGGUUCAGG